AUACGGAGGAUCCGAGCGUUAUCCGGUUUUAUUGGGUUUAAAGGGCGCGCAGGCGGCCAUUUAAGUCAGCGGUUAAAUCGUGGGGCUCAACCCCAUUCUGCCGUUGAUACUGGGUGGCUUGAUUGUGGUCGAGGUUGGCGGAAUUCGUUGUGUAGCGGUGAAAUGCAUAGAUAUGACGAAGAACACCGAUUGCGUAGGCAGCUGACCAGAUCGCAAAUGACGCUCAUGCACGAAAGUGCGGGGAUCGAACAGGAUUAGAUACCCUGGUAGUCCGCACAGUAAACGAUGAAUACUUGUUUUCGGCGAUAUAAUGUCGGAGGCAAAGCGAAAGCGAUAAGUAUUCCACCUGGGGAGUACGCCGGCAACGGUGAAACUUAAAGGAAUUGACGGGG
RNAcentral lists this ribosomal RNA (392 nucleotides) under uncultured bacterium. RNAcentral describes it as "partial 16S ribosomal RNA". It matches the Rfam family "Bacterial small subunit ribosomal RNA", at positions 523 to 918 of the family's 1533-position model. The record is from RNAcentral.